CUUUACGACAACGGUCAGCUUCACAAUCGAUUGCACAAAGUCAACAAUCGAUUACUUAUCAGUUUUUGAAAAACAUUUUAGACACUGCCUCUUGAUAAUCGAUUGUUAUAUACUCACAAUCGAUUAUUUAAUAAAUUUGAAAAUCACUGGAAGUCAUUGCCUCAACACAAUCAAUUGUCAUUAGUUCACAAUCGAUUAUUUUGUGACUUUGAAAAAAACUGAAGUACACUGUCUCUUCACAAUCGAUUGUCAUUAGCUUCACAAUCGAUUAUUCUGAGUUUUGAAAAACUUUGAUGGACACUGCCUCAUCACAAUCGAUUG
RNAcentral lists this long non-coding RNA (321 nucleotides) under Nicotiana benthamiana. RNAcentral's name for it is "long non-coding RNA (NBEN_LNC022326)". Lineage: Eukaryota; Viridiplantae; Streptophyta; Magnoliopsida; Solanales; Solanaceae. The record is from RNAcentral.